CAACCCCUUCUUGCCAAAUUGGGGAGAGAAAUACCACUAGUCCUUCAUCGAGGGGUGGUGCUUGAAGGUGUAAAAAUACCUAAACAAAGAAAGGGAUGGCUGAACUUCGACUACAUGGCAAAGGGAGAGGAACCCUAUCAAAAACCUAAAGGAAUUCGGUGCAACCGAAGCUAAAGAAAUGUCUAAAAAAUAGAAAAAGAUGACGAC
This 207-nucleotide long non-coding RNA is filed under the name Elaeis guineensis (African oil palm). RNAcentral describes it as "long non-coding RNA (EGUI_LNC023368)". Lineage: Eukaryota; Viridiplantae; Streptophyta; Magnoliopsida; Arecales; Arecaceae. The record is from RNAcentral.